This 361-nucleotide unclassified non-coding RNA is filed under the name uncultured bacterium. Its description in RNAcentral is "contains 16S-23S intergenic spacer region". The record is from RNAcentral.
UCUCCCGUAAGGGAGCAGUCUCGCCUGACAAAUAUAACAGGCAACGGGGGUUGCGUUCGUUACCCCACUGAAGGGAACAGUUCAAACCACGAACUGACGACGGCCAUGCAUCACCUGCCCACCCGCCUUGCGGAGUCUAGGUUUCCCUUGAUGAUCGUGUGGGUUUCAAACCCUGGUGAGGUUCUUCGUUUAGCAUCGAAUUGAGCCGCAUGAUCCACCGCUUGUGCAAGUCCCCGUCUAUUCCUUUGAGUUUUAGCCUUGCGGCCGUACUACCCAGGCGCUGAACUUAACGCGUUAGCUUCGCCUCUCAGAGGGUCGAUACUCCGAAAAGCCAGUUCAGAACGUUUAGGGCGUGGACUAC